Molecule: long non-coding RNA, 1130 nt
Filed under: Solanum lycopersicum (tomato)
Lineage: Eukaryota; Viridiplantae; Streptophyta; Magnoliopsida; Solanales; Solanaceae
Description: partial TCONS_00025730
Source: RNAcentral
AGGGUCUCAAUAAUGAAAUCCUCCCAAUCAACAUCAAAUUUCAUUUUCCUUUUUCCUUCUUCCAACAUUUACGUGUUCGAGGAAACUAUACUUUUGCAUAAUUAUAUUUUCAUAGGCCAAGCAACCACUAUCAAAAGAAGGAGGCAUAACAUAAAAUUUCAUUUUCCUUUUUCCUUCUUCCAACAUUUACGUGUUCGAGGGAAUUAUACUUUUGCAUAAUUAUAUUUUCAUAGGCCAAGAAACCACUAUCAAAAGAAGGAGGCAUAACAUCAAAUUUCAUUUUCCUUUUUCCUUCUUUCAACAUUUACGUGUUCGAGGGAACUAUACUUUUGCAUAAUUAUAUUUUCAUAGGCCAAGCAACCACUAUCAAAAGAAGGAGGCAUAACAUCAAAUUUCAUUUUCCUUUUUCCUUCUUCCAACAUUUACGUGUUCGAGGGAGCUAUACUUUUGUAUAAUUAUAUUUUCAUAGGCCAAGCAACCACUACCAAAAGAAGGAGGCAUAACAUCAAAUUUCAUUUUCCUUUUUCCUUCAUCCAACAUUUACGUUUUCGAGGGAACUAUACUUUUGCAUAAUUAUAUUUUCAUAGGCCAAGCAACCACUAUCAAAAGAAGGAGUCAUAACAUCAAUUUUCAUUUUUCUUUUUCCUUCUUCCAACAUUUACGUGNNNNNNNNNNNNNNNNNNNNGUUCGAGGGCCAAGCAAUCACUAUCAAAAGAAGGAGGCAUAACAUCAAAUUUCAUUUUCCUUUAUCCUUCUUCCAACAUUUAUGUGUUCGAGGGAACUAUACUUUUGUAUAAUUAUAUUUUCAUAGGCCAAGCAAUCACUAUCAAAAGAAGGAGUAUAAUAAUUGAUUUAUUCCACUUGAUUUAUAGGCCAAGGAAACUAUACUUUUGUAUGAUGAUUGAUUUAUUCCACUUGAAAUAUUAUGUGCAAAGAAUUCUUAAUAAUUUUUGACACUUUUUAUUAUGUACAUAGGUAGAGGAAGGAGAAAUAAAGGGAGAACAAAAUAAUAAGUAGUAAUAUCAAUAGAAUGAGUUAGGACGGGGCAGGUGGGUUAAUUUUUACCCCGCCAUAGAUUCAACACACCCUACCAAACCCCAAUUAAUAUUUUUUUGUUUUUCAAUACCCAC